RNAcentral lists this transfer RNA (68 nucleotides) under Rhynchocinetes durbanensis. RNAcentral's name for it is "tRNA-Glu". It matches the Rfam family "tRNA". From Rfam's summary of the family: Transfer RNA (tRNA) molecules are approximately 80 nucleotides in length. Their secondary structure includes four short double-helical elements and three loops (D, anti-codon, and T loops). Lineage: Eukaryota; Metazoa; Arthropoda; Malacostraca; Decapoda; Rhynchocinetidae. The record is from RNAcentral.
GCUAUUAUAGUGUAAAUAACACGUUACAUUUUCAUUGUAAAAUUAAAGGUUUAAUCCUUUUAAAAGUU